Molecule: ribosomal RNA, 497 nt
Filed under: uncultured bacterium
Lineage: Bacteria
Description: partial 16S ribosomal RNA
Rfam family: Bacterial small subunit ribosomal RNA
Source: RNAcentral
GAUGAACGCUGGCGGCGUGCCUAAUACAUGCAAGUCGAGCGAACAGACGAGGAACUUGCUCCUCUGACGUUAGCGGCGGACGGGUGAGUAACACGUGGAUAACCUACCUAUAAGACUGGGAUAACUUCGGGAAACCGGAGCUAAUACCGGAUAAUAUAUUGAACCGCAAGGUUCAAUAGUGAAAGACGGUUUUGCUGUCACUUAUAGAUGGAUCCGCGCCGCAUUAGCUAGUUGGUAAGGUAACGGCUUACCAAGGCAACGAUGCGUAGCCGACCUGAGAGGGUGAUCGGCCACACUGGAACUGAGACACGGUCCAGACUCCUACGGGAGGCAGCAGUAGGGAAUAUUGCGCAAUGGGCGAAAGCUUGACGGAGCAACGCCGCGUGUAUGAUGAAGGUCUUCGGAUCGUAAAGCUCUUUUAUUGGGGAGGAACAAAUUUGUAAUUAACUAUGCACUUCUUGACGGUACCUAAUGAGAAAGCCACGGCUAACUACGUG